UGGAGGGUUUGAUCCUGGCUCAGAGUGAACGCUGGCGGCGUGGAUUAGGCAUGCAAGUCGAGCGGUCUCGAAAAGACGAACUUCUUGAACUUUUGGAAGUUCCGGCGAAAGUCGGAAUGGAAGAAAGGGAGAGAAGGGAGUUUUUCGGGAUAGCGGCAAACGGGUGAGUAACACGUGGGUUAUCUACCCUAAGAUGAGGGAUAGUCCCGCGAAAGCGGGGGUAAUACCUCGUACACCCCGACGUUAUGUCGGGGGAAAGGUGGCUUAAUCCCGAGUUUCUCGGGAUGCUGCUGUCUUAGGAGGAGCCCGCGUCCUAUCAGCUAGUUGGUAGGGUAAUGGCCUACCAAGGCUAUGACGGGUAGCUGGCCUUAGCGGGUGGUCAGCCACACCGGGACUGAGACACUGCCCGGACUCCUACGGGAGGCUGCAGUCGAGAAUCUUUCCCAAUGCCCGCAAGGGUGAGGAUGCGACGUCGCGUGGAGGAUGAAGGCCUUCGGGUCGUAAACUCCUUUUGUCAGGGAAGAAAACCCUGAGGUUAAUAGCCUUGGGGCUUGACGGUACCUGACGAAUAAGCCACGGCUAACUCCGUGCCAGCAGCCGCGGUAAUACGGAGGUGGCUAGCGUUACUCGGUAUUACUGGGUGUAAAGGGUCCGCAGGCGGCUAAGUAAGUAAGAGGUGAAAUCCUCCGGCUUAACCGGAGAACUGCCUCUUAUACUGCUUAGAUAGAGGGCAAGAGAGGAGAGCGGAACUGCCGGUGUAAGGGUGAAAUCUGUGGAUAUCGGCAGGAACACCAGUGGCGAAGGCGGCUCUCUGGCUUGCUCCUGACGCUCAGGGACGAAAGCUAGGGGAGCAAACAGGAUUAGAUACCCUGGUAGUCCUAGCUGUAAACGAUGGGCACUGGGUGUUUGCCUUUUAGGUGAGCGCCGAAGCUAACGCGUUAAGUGCCCCACCUGGGGACUACGGUCGCAAGGCUAAAACUCAAAGGAAUUGACGGGGGCCCGCACAAGCGGUGGAACACGUGGUUUAAUUCGAUGCUACGCGAGGAACCUU
RNAcentral lists this ribosomal RNA (1051 nucleotides) under Candidatus Omnitrophota bacterium. Its description in RNAcentral is "bacterial SSU rRNA". It matches the Rfam family "Bacterial small subunit ribosomal RNA", at positions 1 to 972 of the family's 1533-position model. The record is from RNAcentral. Lineage: Bacteria; Pseudomonadati; Candidatus Omnitrophota.